UAGCACCUGGUAUUGAUCUUUUACUGGCUUUGGUUACUUCCUCCUGGAACCUUGAAUCAUGGACAUUCCUGUAUUGAUUUCCAGUCAUGACCCUCCACUCCUCCCAGGUUUCUUCUUGCAGUGCCAUGGCAGAUUACAAGUAAUAAAUUAUCAGGGCGGGAAGGUGGAAGAGGAAGUUACAGCAACAACCAAUGGAAGGAUGCCAGACUGCACAGGAGGCAGAAAGACUUGAAGAAGCAGACACCAAGGACUCACCAUGAUAGCCAUUUAGGGCCUCCAAAUCCAGGGCAAACAACGCAGUUACCCUUUUUGGCACCACUAUACAGGUGCAUAACACUUUAUCGGCGAUGUCAAAUCAAAAGUCUCGAAUACUGAAAGACUCUAAUACAGAAGACUCUAGAAAAGUUGCUUGGUUUUUUUGUUUUUCAUAUUUCAUUUGGUAGCGAAGCCUGACCUGACUUGCCCUUGUCUGGCAGCAGAUCUUAUCUGAACUGAUCUGAGGCUACUCACGAACUUCAUUCUAAUUAACGUGACUGUUUGGGUGCAGAAACAAUGUGUUCAUUGCAGACCCCGCUGAAGGUGUUAUGAAUGUAUGGUAUAAGCACCACGUUACCUUUACAAAGUCCAAACAUCCAGUUGUGCGGGUUCUGGCUAAGGGGCUGUGCACCUGUGUAAUACAGUCACAAAUGCACAAAAUAGUAACCAUAUAAAAUGAGAAGUGCUAUGCUUGCUUGAUAAGAUAGGCGAGUGUGGAAAAUACUUUGAAAGCUUUGCAUUUUGAGAAAGUGUUCAUAAAGGAAAGGAAAGCUGCAGAGUAUUUGGAAAGUCAACAAGUGUUUAUACUACACUUUAGAGAUUUCCUGUGUUUGUGUGUGUGUGUGUAUUUCUGAGUCCUUUAAGAUGAAUUUAGACUUGGAAUUUGGGGGAUAUAUUUGUGCUUGCCUUGCUGCAACUUGAAUUUGUGUACUAUUAUCUGGGAAAUUAUUUUUAAGGUUGUUAGAGUUUGCUUGAGUACCCAGGAUAUCUGAGUGAGAAAGUUAUUCAGAGAUGUGAAUGUGCUUUUUAAAACUUCCAAAUUUGUAA
This is a non-coding RNA of Equus caballus (horse), 1083 nucleotides long. NCBI's taxonomy places the organism in Eukaryota, Metazoa, Chordata, Mammalia, Perissodactyla, Equidae. The record is from RefSeq and is a predicted model, not a curated record.